This is a long non-coding RNA of Sceloporus undulatus (fence lizard), 2374 nucleotides long. RefSeq lists it as uncharacterized. The transcript is spliced from 4 exons. The record is from RefSeq and is a predicted model, not a curated record. Lineage: Eukaryota; Metazoa; Chordata; Lepidosauria; Squamata; Phrynosomatidae.
CGUUUCCCACUCACGUAUAUGUGAGGGACCCGAAUCUCAAGUCUGCAAAAACAAAGGGGACUGUACUCACAACAGCCAAUGCAGCUUGGGAGGUUAAACCACACAUUUGCUUCCAGCAAUUUGAAUGGAAGAAGCUCCACCCAGCUUAUAAUACCAGCCUGAUCAGCUGCACCCAUCUUGCAGACCAGCAUAGCUUCUCACUUUGCCUGUGGGGAAGGGUUUCUGCCAAAUGCCAAAGCCUCCUUCUUCCCAGAGGAUUUGGAGCUCUUUCUUCUGAAGAACCCAAUUGGCUGUCAGGCGUCUGUUCCAGCUGUGGUUUUUACUCCUAUAUUACAAUAAAAUGGGGGAAUCUGCUUCUGUACAGGCCUUUCACUGUUACCGUGAUGACCAUUAGUGCUGUGGCAAAUGUUAAGACAGACAGGUUGUUAUAAGACAAGCAGCAGCAAGUAAGUCUUCAGGUUGUACAUGGGCAAUCCAGGAAGUUCCUGAAAGAUGAAGGAAGGUUUACAUUUGUAUUCUAAGCCCAUUGUAAGCUGAGUAUGCUGUGAAACUGUUCCAUCAGACCAAGGGUAAAUGAGCCUUAGAAGAAAUCUCUUUCUCUCUCUCAUAUCACAGACAGAAGUUUAUUAUCAAGAUGGCUUCAUGCAAAUGAGAUUCCAGUUGUUGCUAAAGGUGCAUUUAAUAUUAUUGCUGUGUCAAUAAUAACAUUCCAUGGCUAGAACUGAAUGCUUUAUGUAGUUUGGGGGGUGGGAAGUGAAACUUUACUGUCAUUUGCAAGAUGCAGUGCUGAAUAAAUGGAGGUGAACAGGAUUUUGUUUUGUUUUGCCUCAGUAUCAUAAAAUAUGAAAAUAAUGGAACAGUAAAAGAUUGUCUUCUUAAGUCAAGGAAGGAACAAGAUUUUCACUGUAGACCUCCUUUGAUCAUAUUGCUGCCUUUGGGUACUGUAUCUGCUUAUAGUUACUAUUACCAUCAUUAUUAACUAUUUUGAUUACAGUACAGCCCCCAGUGGUUUUUUUCCCCUGGCAAGGUAGAACAAUAAACAGUUUCUCUCUCUUACAGUAUGCAAUCUGAAUAAUUAAAAAUUAAUUCAUUUCUGCCACUAGGCAGAAAAUGCAGGUACAAAAAGAUUGUGUUGUCUUCUGACAGCCUCAUUACACAUUACAUACAAAGGCCUCUGGCUUGAACAUUAAGGGGGAAAAUCUUAUACUUUCUGUUGUUUCAGGAAAGGUUGCUUUGUGAAGGACAGCUUGGUAAAAUUGAGAUGUGAAAAGGAUGAAGCCACUUCACCCAUUUCCAAUUCACCUGUUGUUCUCCCCUCCUAAAGCAAUAUUUUUCUAAAAAUAAAAAGAAUGUUGGGCUUUAGUUACUUAUGUUGGAAAGUAAGCUGUAGUUCAAUCCUGAACUGAGACUGAGAGGAGCAUAAAGACUGACUUGUGUAAAACAGUUUGCUGCCUCAGGCAAAGAAAAUAACGGUGUCCAUCUUCUGUUCCAUGUACAAGAUCUUACUGGACUUGGCAGCUGAACUUCAUUCCAACACUGUUAAUAGGACACAGUUAUCCUCCACUACAAGUGAGGUGAGCGGUUCAGUUUAGGGCAAGAAUGGGAAUGAUGCAGCUCAUGGGCUCCAUAUGACUUCAGGGGGAUUUCCCCCCUUCCAAUUUUCCCAACAAACAAACAAACAAACAAACAAAAACAAUUGAAGAUCAAAAAAGUCACUGAAAACAACUGUAAAAUACUUUUAAAUGUUUUAUGAAUCCCUUACUCUGAAACAUCAAGCGUGCACCUCAAGAAGACAGCCCAUAAAAUGUCUGGGACUGAUACUUCAGGUUGCCCAAUAUUAUAAAAGGCAAAGAUGCCUAGGAGCUGGAAAUUGGGCGGUGUACCUCUCUGGAUUUUGGUGCAUGCGUAUUCUGGUUUAGGAAAUGGAGGAGGAACUUGUGUAUACACUAGAGAUGUUGGCAAAUUCCAUAGAAUAGCUUUUCCCCAAUACACCAGUAGAUAUCCUAAGAUUAGUAGUAUUUUGCUUAAUAUGUCUGUAGAUUUUAUAUUUUAUCCUCCUGCUCUUGGUGCUUUGUUUACCCUCCUGCUCUGAAUACCAUGUAAAGAGAAAGCAUUUUUAUUACAAAAUAAUAUACUUAUGGCUAUUAUUUUAUCACAAAUCACAUAUACAUCUUGUCCUACUGUGGGAUGGAGCUGUGGGUGGGAAGGAAAGAAGGAAGCAAUGUGCAUCUAAAUGAACUCACCCCCUCAUCUCCAUGCAGAGUAACAGGUACUUUAUUUUCCAUUAAGGAUACAACAUAUUCCAUCCCAUUUGGGUUCUAUUUUGUUCCCUCUUCCCCACUGACUUUUAAUAAAAUAUGUGUUUAUUUUCUCA